Molecule: ribosomal RNA, 437 nt
Filed under: uncultured bacterium
Lineage: Bacteria
Description: partial 16S ribosomal RNA
Rfam family: Bacterial small subunit ribosomal RNA
Source: RNAcentral
GACGAACGCUGGCGGCGGGCUUAACACAUGCAAGUCGAGCGGGCAUCCUUGUGGUGUCAGCGGCGGACGGGUGGGUAACGCGUGGGAACGUGCCCUUCGGUUCGGAAUAACUCAGGGAAACUUGAGCUAAUACCGGAUACGUGCGCGAGCAGAAAGGUUUAUCUGCCGAAGGAUCGGCCCGCGUCUGAUUAGCUAGUUGGUGAGGUUAUGGCUCACCAAGGCGACGAUCAGUAGCUGGUCUGAGAGGAUGAUCAGCCACACUGGGACUGAGACACGGCCCAGACUCCUACGGGAGGCAGCAGUGGGGAAUAUUGGACAAUGGGGGCAACCCUGAUCCAGCCAUGCCGCGUGAGUGAUGACGGCCUUAGGGUUGUAAAGCUCUUUUCGCCGGGACGAUAAUGACGGUACCGGAGGAAUAAGCCCCGGCUAACUUCGUG